This 400-nucleotide ribosomal RNA is filed under the name uncultured bacterium. Its description in RNAcentral is "bacterial SSU rRNA". It matches the Rfam family "Bacterial small subunit ribosomal RNA", at positions 355 to 747 of the family's 1533-position model. The record is from RNAcentral.
UGGGGAAUUUUGGACAAUGGGGGCAACCCUGAUCCAGCCAUGCCGCGUGCAGGAUGAAGGCCUUCGGGUUGUAAACUGCUUUUGUACGGAACGAAAAGACUCUGGUUAAUACCUGGGGUCCAUGACGGUACCGUAAGAAUAAGCACCGGCUAACUACGUGCCAGCAGCCGCGGUAAUACGUAGGGUGCAAGCGUUAAUCGGAAUUACUGGGCGUAAAGCGUGCGCAGGCGGUGAUGUAAGACAGAGGUGAAAUCCCCGGGCUCAACCUGGGAACUGCCUUUGUGACUGCAUCGCUGGAGUGCGGCAGAGGGGGAUGGAAUUCCGCGUGUAGCAGUGAAAUGCGUAGAUAUGCGGAGGAACACCAAUUGCGAAGGCAGGUUACCAAGAUAUAACUGACGCU